Molecule: ribosomal RNA, 536 nt
Filed under: uncultured Alphaproteobacteria bacterium
Lineage: Bacteria; Pseudomonadati; Pseudomonadota; Alphaproteobacteria
Description: bacterial SSU rRNA
Rfam family: Bacterial small subunit ribosomal RNA
Source: RNAcentral
AGAGUUUGACCCUGGCUCAGAACGAACGCUGGCGGCAUGCCUAACACAUGCAAGUCGAACGAAGUCUUCGGACUUAGUGGCGCACGGGUGAGUAACAUGUGGGAAUCUACCUAAAGGUUCGGAACAACUUCGGGAAACUGAAGCUAAUACCGGAUGUGUCCGCAAGGAGAAAGAUUUAUCGCCUUUAGAUGAGCCCGCACCGGAUUAGUUUGUUGGUGAGGUAAGAGCUCCACCAAGACUACGAUCUAUAGCUGAUUUGAGAGGAUGAUCAGCCACACUGGGACUGAGAUACGGCCCAGACUCCUACGGGAGGCAGCAGUGGGGAAUAUUGGACAAUGGGGGAAACCCUGAUCCAGCAAUGCCGCGUGAGUGAAGAAGGCCUUCGGGUUGUAAAACUCUUUCAUCAAUGAAGAUAAUGACAUUAAUUGAAGAAGAAGCUCCGGCUAACUUCGUGCCAGCAGCCGCGGUAAUACGGAGGGGGCUAGCGUUGUUCGGAAUUACUGGGCGUAAAGCGUAUGUAGGCGGAUCAAAAAGUU